This 301-nucleotide ribosomal RNA is filed under the name uncultured bacterium. Its description in RNAcentral is "partial 16S ribosomal RNA". It matches the Rfam family "Bacterial small subunit ribosomal RNA", at positions 509 to 809 of the family's 1533-position model. The record is from RNAcentral.
CAGUCGCCGCGGUAAUACGUAGAGUGCAAGCGUUAAUCGGAAUUACUGGGCGUAAAGCGUGCGCAGGCGGUUAUAUAAGACAGAUGUGAAAUCCCCGGGCUCAACCUGGGAACUGCAUUUGUGACUGUAUAGCUAGAGUACGGCAGAGGGGGAUGGAAUUCCGCGUGUAGCAGUGAAAUGCGUAGAUAUGCGGAGGAACACCGAUGGCGAAGGCAAUCCCCUGGGCCUGUACUGACGCUCAUGCACGGAAGCGUGGGGAGCAAACAGGAUUAGAUACCCCCGUAGUCCCUGUCUCUUAUAA